Molecule: ribosomal RNA, 253 nt
Filed under: uncultured bacterium
Lineage: Bacteria
Description: partial 16S ribosomal RNA
Rfam family: Bacterial small subunit ribosomal RNA
Source: RNAcentral
UACAGAGGUCCCAAGCGUUGUUCGGAUUCACUGGGCGUAAAGCGUGCGCAGGCGGUUAUGUAAGACAGUUGUGAAAUCCCCGGGCUCAACCUGGGAACUGCAUCUGUGACUGCAUAGCUAGAGUACGGUAGAGGGGGAUGGAAUUCCGCGUGUAGCAGUGAAAUGCGUAGAUAUGCGGAGGAACACCGAUGGCGAAGGCAAUCCCCUGGACCUGUACUGACGCUCAUGCACGAAAGCGUGGGGAGCAAACAGG